This is a long non-coding RNA of Poecilia reticulata (guppy), 1705 nucleotides long. RefSeq lists it as uncharacterized. Lineage: Eukaryota; Metazoa; Chordata; Actinopteri; Cyprinodontiformes; Poeciliidae. The record is from RefSeq and is a predicted model, not a curated record.
AUAUAAAAACAAUAUCGUGGCACCAUUUGCAAAAUUGCAUCUGAAAGAACCACAACACUUUUAGAAGUGUGUUGUCAGAGUUCACCGAAGCUAAGGUGUUUGGUCACAAUGCACUGCACCAGGCCCAGAGAAAAGUAAACACCUAAAGUAAACUCAAACAACUCACCAACUGUCGAGCAUGAGGGGGGCUGAUGAUUUGAGAUUUGAAUCCAAGAGAUAUGGACACCUGGCAGACAAACAUGAAGUUCUAUCAUAUUUGAGGUCAUUUAUCAAACAAUUCAAGCUUGGACCAAACCUAACAUUGGUUCUGAAAGCCGUUUAAACAAUUGUUUUUAUUUUUCCGGAUGACUGUAAAUUUUAAAAAGGUUAAGGGGUAUUGUAGAGAGGAUUCAUUUUGACUUCCAUAUAAUGUCCGCAUUGUUGCAUGAAUGGCUUACUUUUGAAAAAAUUAUUUUGCUUUAAGUGAGUACAUAUAUAUGUACUGUUGUAACUUUAGGUAUCAAAAUAUCCAUUUAAUUUGUGCUACACUAAUCUUAGAAACACUGCUUUGCAGAAACAAAACACUUUUAGGUCUAUUGCUAUAACAAUAUUUAAGUUUUGGGGGGGAAAAAAACAAAAACAAAUCUCAUGCGCUUUUUUGGUCACCUUGCUUGCACGGUCACUUGAGAGUGAUGGACUAUUUUAUGUUACGCCUACUUUUAUUCAAGCGGAAGGAUACGGAUCUAAGUGUCCAAACUCGGAGCGCUGAGGACGCUUUGGAUUUGCUUUUGAAAGACGUUCUCUGAUUGGAUAAGACAAACCCGCAUACUCUCCCAGUGUAAAGGGGCUAGUGAUUGGCUCACAGGGAUCUGCAAUGCGUCAAAGCACGGAGCGGCAAUGAGGGCAACGUCUCCACAGCGACAACGUAGUAGAAAAAAAAGCAGGUGAUGACUCGCAGGUAAUCUACAGGUGUGUUGCCUAAUAAAGUGGUGAGCCUCAGACCGAAAUAAGGAAUAAGACCUUUGCUACCACGGAAAUACGGGAGAAAAGUGAAAGAAAUGGAUGUACAUCCUCCACAGUAGAGGACAAUGAGCACCGAUCUCUGUUGAUGUGGCACCCUCAAACAGUCCCCGGAUUCGGUUGCUGAGGCCAUUUUCUGGUAGAAUGGGCAGGGCCUCAUCCAAGCAACAAGACCUACAAAUGAUGAACAUACUCAUCAUCACUUUCAGCCUCACCUCUGAGCUGCAUCCACCAGCUGCUUCCUAUGCUGUUCAGCAACAAUCGCAAACAGACGGGGUACCACGCUGCUGCUGUUGUCUCUGGUUACAGUGUGGAAAAACCGGCGUGCCCGGCCGGCGCUAUGGAGCAGACCUGAAUGUAAACAUUCCACAGGGGGGCGCUGUAUGGCCAAGCUGAGAGGGAACAGUGAGCAGUGAGAGGUUCUCCAGGAGCAUGCUCGGCUGAUAGGGGGCAGCAGAGAGCACAAAAUCCACCGGGAAACCCAGAAAGGCCAAGAAACUGAGAAGAAACCGCAGCUGGAGUUCUGGUGAAGUCAGACAAAUAAGGGAUGGGCCGAUGUCAUCAAACAGCACCUGGACACGGAGAAAGAAUGAAGCAGAGAUGUUUCAAUGAGGUCUCCAGGGCAACCAGUGAGCUGCUUCACGGGACGACUCCACAUCCAGCCAGACGGUCCCUCUGGGCUGGCUCCGGUCUUUCACCUCCUCUU